AUGUCAAUGUUGCUCUCUGGGUUCUUCACUCGGAAAGGCAAACUGACGUGCCUCGUUCCAACGCCGGGAUCGGUGUUCGGGCCUACUACCCUCUUCCUCGGCUCCUUCUUUCGAGACGCCCCGCGAGGCCUCCGCCUUAGUCGUGCAACACCGCUCGCCGCACACCAUGGCCUCCUCCUUGUGCGUCUCCCCUACUCCGACCCCCUGCUUCACCUCGCCGUGUGCAAUCUGCUCGCCGGCACAUGCAUUGUGCUCCCCCCACUAGAAAGCAGUUGGAAGUAUGGCGACAGUGGCUAUGCCAUCUUUACCACCGCAGACCGUCCCUCAAGCUGCGACGAACAACCAUCAUGGCCGCCGGGCUACUCGGCAUUGUUCAAAGUUCUAGUCAUAUGCUGCCAUGGUUAUCACAAGCCAUGCAUUCUUCACUCAUUUUCAUAUGGCGAGGCGAGGUGGAAGAUGCCCACGGAGAUAGUCUGUGAGUCGACAAAGCUCAGCAUCUGCGGGUCACUCAAGCAUCCCAUCGCCGUUGUGUGCCAUGGCACGGCGCACUGGCUUGUUUGGUGCAAGUCAACCGACGUUUAUCGGUGGCAUAUUAUUGAUGUGGAUGCCGAGACAUGUCAUGGUUCCCUGAGGGAGAUUGUGAUCCCGAUCCAACAUAUUUUACCUGUAACUUAUGAACCACAACUUAGUGUGGCUCAUGAUGGGACAUUAUUAUUGCUUUACCUGCAAAGGCCAGGCCUCCAGUUAAAAAUAUGUGUGCAACAAGACAACGUAAAGGGCGAUAAUGAUGGUAGAUGGCUUUGCAGUAGAGUGGUCGAGCUAAAACUACCCACGAGUAUUCAAGCACAAGAGAUGUAUUUGACCCCUUUAGGAGAGAAGGGCGGAACAUUGCUCGUUAAGGACAACUGGAUGAAUGUGUAUGCCGUCGAUCUUAAAACAGGGGUCAUGAAGAGUCUGGCGUCUUGUGGUCAGAUUAACCGGAAGAUCGUUCCGUUUGAGUUAUAUUGGCCAGUGUAG
RNAcentral lists this ribosomal RNA (1017 nucleotides) under Triticum aestivum (bread wheat). RNAcentral describes it as "partial small subunit ribosomal RNA". Lineage: Eukaryota; Viridiplantae; Streptophyta; Magnoliopsida; Poales; Poaceae. The record is from RNAcentral.